This is a microRNA precursor of Arabis alpina (gray rockcress), 130 nucleotides long. It matches the Rfam family "mir-393 microRNA precursor family". The record is from Rfam. Lineage: Eukaryota; Viridiplantae; Streptophyta; Magnoliopsida; Brassicales; Brassicaceae.
AGAGGAAGGAUCCAAAGGGAUCGCAUUGAUCCUAAUUAAGGUGAAUUUUCCCUAUUAUUUUCUUAUUUUUGAAAAAAAUAUCAAAAAUUUGCUUGGUUUUGGAUCAUGCCAUCUCUUUGGAUUCAUCCUU